This 2826-nucleotide long non-coding RNA is filed under the name Homo sapiens (human). RNAcentral's name for it is "HSALNT0028759". The record is from RNAcentral. Lineage: Eukaryota; Metazoa; Chordata; Mammalia; Primates; Hominidae.
GUGAAGUGCAGAGUACACAAAGGAAAGGUCACUGCCCUCAAAGGUCUCCCAAUCAAAUGGGAACGCAAAUGCAAAAUGCCAUUCAGCAUAAUCAAUACCAUAAUGAGAUUCUGGCCAGGAAGGUCAGGGACACGAGGAAAGGCUCUGCAGUGCUACCUGGGGCAGGUGGGUCAGGGAUGACCUGGUCGAAGAGAUUACACUUGAACUGAGUCUCAAAGGAUCAGCAGGAAUUCGCCAAGUGAACCAAGGGAGAAAGGGCAGAGAAAAAGGAGACACCCAGCACAGAGGCGUGAAGUAGCCUGGCAGGCUGGGGAGCUGCUAGUGUUUUAUAUGAUUAGAGCAAGGUGGAGGUGCAGACAGGGCUGGGGAGAACUGUGGAACCCACUUCGCAAGGCCUUGGGUGCCUGUACUGGGAGUGGACACGGCAGUGUUGGUCAAAAUGGGGUCUUACAUCAGAAUCUCCUGGGAGGUUCAUGAAAAUGCAGUUUCUUAAGCCUUAUCUUAUGUCCAUAUGGGCAGACUGCUCAGCAUAACUCUCUUUUCUUCCUGAGCUUGACUACAUUUCCCAGCGUCCUUUGGAGUGAGACUACAUCUCCCAGCAUCCUGGCAGUUAGACAAUUUUCUAGUCUCCUUUGCAGGGAUCUUGGAAGCCCCAUGUUGAAGGUGGCAGAGCAACAAAAAUUGAGGAAACCCUGAAUCCCUGAAUUACUAUUUGGAGAUGACCACCCACUAAUUCGGAACACUCAUUAUUGGGCUUUAGGAGAAUGAGAAGUUCUAUCAUGUUUGAGACUCCGUACAUCUUUGGAUUUGUUUUAACAGCUAGUUUUACCCUGGCUAACAUGGCAAUUGACAGCCUCUGAGAGGAGAUUUGGAGAAUCUGCUUUUUUAACAAGUACUCCAGGGGAGUUUGAGAAUCACUGCUGAAAGCCAAGGGGAGCCAGCCACCCAAGGAUUUAACGCUGACCAAGGAACACCACGCUAUUUGCAUUUUAGAAUGACAGCAAGGGAGCAGAACUCUGCCCCCUUCUUGUCUGCCAAGGAGAACAAUCUACUGACUCAAAAGAAAAAGAAAACUUUGGUAAGAGAAAAUUGAAGCUCUAGAUGAGUGAAAAGAUUCUAACAGCACCAAGCUGCCGUAAAUGAGCUCAAGUCUCCUGGCCAGGACAAAUUACACUCCAGGGAGUAGAGAGAACUCGCCUCUGAAGCUGUAAAGCCUCUGCUGAUAAUCUUUACAGAACAUGGAGACUGUGAAAGAAAUUGGAACGCUAGAAAUGGCAAAAUAUAGCUCUGAUUAGUAAAGAGGGGGAAAGCUUCUGCAAACUACAAAAGUGGGGCUAUCCUAUCCAUCCUCAUUAAAUUCCCUGAUCAGACUACUUAAGGCUGAGCUGUGAGUACGUGAAAAAUGGAGCAGAAUCCUCUAGAAGCCUGUGUGGGUUCUUUAAGAGCAAGCCACGACAAGGCAUUGGACCAGGAAGGAGAGAAAUGGGGCCUUUUCUGGCCAGGUGCUCUCACUGACUCCGGGUACAAGGAAGAAUACAAUAUGAUUCCUGUCCUCAAGUCCACAUGCCUGUGGAUACUAACCUUUACACAGACAACAUAAGAACUGAACAGGGUGGUAUUUAAUUAAGAUAAAAGAAGUAGCAAGAGUAACAAGUAAUAAGUGAGAAUAAGUAUUAAACUAUGUACUGACUUUGGGAGUACCCAGGCUCCAUUUUUAUGCCAAAUCUCUGGUGUUAAGGCAUAAAAGAUACUGUGUUUAGAACAUGUCCUGAAAGGGAACAUGUUCUAAAAAAAACACAAAACAGCAGAAAGGAUAACGUUCUGCUGCUGACUUGUGUUCAUUGUUCAACUUGUGGGCCACUAGGACUCUUGAAUCUUCUUUCUCCAUAUUUGCAUCUAAUUAGCAUUUGUGUAGUUGCUAUCUUUCCCUGAAAUGUUUCUUUCUCAACACUCAGUAUUGCCGUAACAAGAUGGGGAAACAGAGGAAAUAAUUUUUUUAAAUGUUCAAUUGAUUUCCUUUUUUAAAAAGACACCUUUAUUGAAUUAUUACAUAUCAUAAAAUUCAUCUGUUUUAUGUGUGCAACUCGAUGAAUUUUAGUAAAUUUACAGAGGUGUGCAGCCAUCACAACCAGCUUUAAAACAUUUCCAUUACCAGACAGAAUAAUUUAAGGGCACAAUCCAAUGAAUGUGGGCAUAUUUAACCUACUUGAGCAUGCAUUUCUGAAACUGUUGUACUUAAGAAAAUCUGUCAGCAAAUUUUGAGUUGCUUCAUGAUAUACUUUUGCAAGACAAAGCAAAAUGUGCAGAAGGAAGGAUCUGUGUGCCUGAAAUCCUAAGAAACCAUUAUCUAUUUUGCAGAUCACUUUAUUAAUAAACAGAUUAUUACAAAAGUAAUUAUCUUAGAGAUGACAAUGCCAUUAGCUAACCCAUGUUGUUGUCUAUUGGGACAUAUAAAAAGUCUUUUUAAUUUGCUCUUCAAAAAAUCACUUACACCCACAACACUACUUCAGUCAACAAAGUAAAUCUAGGUAUGGGAAAACCAUGGCAAAAACUUUUUGCCAUGCUUUACCUUUUUGUCUUUAAAAUUUAAUGUAUUCAUUUUCGUUCGGAUUCUCUUUUCUCUCUUGAUUCACUGGAGGAAGGAUUUCUCUGGUGAAAAGUACCCCAAUCUGAUGCCUUUGCAAAAGCAGUCACCCCUCUGGCAUGAAAGGCACCAUUCAAUCAUCCAAACUCUUAGAGGUGAAGGGUACACUGAAUAAUGAGUGCUAAGAUGGUGUCUAUUGUAUUAUAAAUACCCAUUUUAGAAAACCCAAUAGUCAGAAAGUU